AUUGAACGCUGGCGGCAGGCCUAACACAUGCAAGUCGAACGAGUGGCGGACGGGUGAGUAAUGGCUGGGAAACUGGCUGAUGGAGGGGGAUAAGGACGGGAAAAGGUAGCUAAUACCGCAUACCAUCAGAUGGGGCGAGGUGGGAUUGGCUAGUUGGUGGGGAAACGGCGGACCAAGGCGACGAUCCCUAGCUGGUCUGAGAGGAUGACCAGCCACACUGGAACUGGGACACGGUCCAGACUCCUACGGGAGGCAGCAGUGGGGAAUAUUGCGCAAUGGGCGCAAGCCUGAUGCAGCCAUGCCGCGUGUAUGAAGAAGGCCUUCGGGUUGUAAAGUUCUUUCGGCGGGGAGGCGUUACCUACCGAAGAAGCACCGGCUAACUACGUGCCAGCAGCCGCGGUAAUAC
Molecule: ribosomal RNA, 406 nt
Filed under: uncultured bacterium
Lineage: Bacteria
Description: partial 16S ribosomal RNA
Rfam family: Bacterial small subunit ribosomal RNA
Source: RNAcentral